GAUUUAGCCAUGCUAGUCGCACGAGUUCAGACUCGUGGCGAAUAGCUCAGUAACACGUGGCCAAACUACCCUUCGGAACACAAUACCCUCGGGAAACUGAGGCUAAUAGUGUAUACCAUACCACCACUGGAAUGAGUGGUAUGCCAAACGCUCCGGCGCCGAAGGAUGUGGCUGCGGCCGAUUAGGUAGACGGUGGGGUAACGGCCCACCGUGCCAAUAAUCGGUAUGGGUCAUGAGAGUGAGAACCCAGAGACGGAAUCUGAGACAAGAUUCCGGGCCCUACGGGGCGCAGCAGGCGCGAAACCUUUACACUGCACGACAGUGCGAUAGGGGGAUCCCAAGUGCACAGGCAUAGCGCCUGUGCUUUUCGGUACCCUAAGGCGGUACCAGAAUAAGGGCUGGGCAAGACCGGUGCCAGCCGCCGCGGUAAUACCGGCAGCCCAAGUGAUGGCCGAUCUUAUUGGGCCUAAAGCGUCCGUAGCUGGCCGCGCAAGUCCAUCGGGAAAUCCACCUGCUCAACAGGUGGGCGCCCGGUAGAAACUGCGUGGCUUGGGACCGGAAGGCGCGACGGGUACGUCCGGGGUAGGAGUGAAAUCCCGUAAUCCUGGACGGACCGCCGAUGGCGAAAGCACGUCGCGAGAACGGAUCCGACAGUGAGGGACGAAAGCCAGGGUCUCGAACCGGAUUAGAUACCCGGGUAGUCCUGGCCGUAAACAAUGUCUGCUAGGUGUGGCUCCCACUACGAGUGGGUGCUGUGCCGCAGGGAAGCCGCUAAGCAGACCGCCUGGGAAGUACGUCCGCAAGGAUGAAACUUAAAGGAAUUGGCGGGGGAGCACUACACCCGGAGGAGCCUGCGGUCUAAUUUGGACUUCAACUCCGGACAUCCUCACCCAGCCUCGACUGUAGUAAUGACGACCAGGUGAUGACCUUUA
Molecule: ribosomal RNA, 932 nt
Filed under: archaeon GC3
Lineage: Archaea
Description: bacterial SSU rRNA
Rfam family: Archaeal small subunit ribosomal RNA
Source: RNAcentral